This 466-nucleotide ribosomal RNA is filed under the name uncultured bacterium. RNAcentral describes it as "partial 16S ribosomal RNA". It matches the Rfam family "Bacterial small subunit ribosomal RNA", at positions 28 to 507 of the family's 1533-position model. The record is from RNAcentral.
GAUGAACGCUGGCGGCGUGCUUAACACAUGCAAGUCGAACGGAAAGGCUCCUGCUUGCAGGGGUACUCGAGUGGCGAACGGGUGAGUAACACGUGGGUGAUCUGCCCUGCACUUCGGGAUAAGCCUGGGAAACUGGGUCUAAUACCGGAUAGGACGAUGGUUUGGAUGCCAUUGUGGAAAGUUUUUUCGGUGUGGGAUGAGCUCGCGGCCUAUCAGCUUGGUGGUGGGGUAAUGGCCUACCAAGGCGUCGACGGGUAGCCGGCCUGAGAGGGUGUACGGCCACAUUGGGACUGAGAUACGGCCCAGACUCCUACGGGAGGCAGCAGUGGGGAAUAUUGCACAAUGGGCGCAAGCCUGAUGCAGCGACGCCGCGUGGGGGAUGACGGCCUUCGGGUUGUAAACUCCUUUCGCUAGGGACGAAGCGCAAGUGACGGUACCUGGAGAAGAAGCACCGGCUAACUACGUG